RNAcentral lists this ribosomal RNA (835 nucleotides) under uncultured Planctomycetaceae bacterium. RNAcentral's name for it is "bacterial SSU rRNA". It matches the Rfam family "Bacterial small subunit ribosomal RNA", at positions 25 to 866 of the family's 1533-position model. The record is from RNAcentral. Lineage: Bacteria; Pseudomonadati; Planctomycetota; Planctomycetia; Planctomycetales; Planctomycetaceae.
CAGAAUGAACGUUGGCGGCGUGGAUUAGGCAUGCAAGUCGCACGAGAAACUAAUUAGCUUGCUAUGAAGUGGACAGUGGCGAAAGGGAGAGUAACGCGUGGUUACAUGCCCUCGAGACCAGGAUAGUGUUGGGAAACUGGCAGUAAUACUGGAUAACAUCUUCGGAUCAAAUGGUGUGAUUCCGCUCGAGGAUUGGACCGCGUACUAUUAGCUUGUUGGUGAGGUAAUGGCUCACCAAGGCAUCGAUGGUUACCGGGUGUGAGAGCAUGGCCCGGCUCACUGGGACUGAGACACUGCCCAGACAUCUACGGAUGGCUGCAGUCGAGAAUCUUCGGCAAUGGACGAAAGUCUGACCGAGCGACGCCGCGUGCGGGAUGAAGGCCCUCGGGUUGUAAACCGCUGUCAGUUAGGAGGAAAUGCAUAAGGGUUCUCUCUUAUGUUUGACCGAUUUUCAGAGGAAGGACGGGCUAAGUUCGUGCCAGCAGCCGCGGUAAGACGAACCGUCCAAACGUUAUUCGGUAUCACUGGGCUUAAAGCGUGCGUAGGCGGCUUGGUAGGUGAGAUGUGAAAGCCCACGGCUCAACCGUGGAACAGCGUCUCAAACCCCCAAGCUCGAGGAAGAUAGGGGUGAUGGGAACUUAUGGUGGAGCGGUGAAAUGCGUUGAUAUCAUAGGGAACACCGGUGGCGAAAGCGCAUCACUGGGUCUUUUCUGACGCUGAGGCACGAAAGCUAGGGUAGCGAACGGGAUUAGAUACCCCGGUAGUCCUAGCCGUAAACGAUGAGCACUGGGUUGAGGGGGUCACAUCCUCUCGGCCGUAGCGAAAGCGUUAAGUG